RNAcentral lists this ribosomal RNA (432 nucleotides) under Klebsiella pneumoniae. Its description in RNAcentral is "partial 23S ribosomal RNA". It matches the Rfam family "Bacterial large subunit ribosomal RNA", at positions 2318 to 2749 of the family's 2925-position model. RNAcentral also lists the same sequence under 1 other name. The record is from RNAcentral. Lineage: Bacteria; Pseudomonadati; Pseudomonadota; Gammaproteobacteria; Enterobacterales; Enterobacteriaceae.
UAGCUAAUCCUGGUCGGACAUCAGGAGGUUAGUGCAAUGGCAUAAGCUAGCUUGACUGCGAGCGUGACGGCGCGAGCAGGUGCGAAAGCAGGUCAUAGUGAUCCGGUGGUUCUGAAUGGAAGGGCCAUCGCUCAACGGAUAAAAGGUACUCCGGGGAUAACAGGCUGAUACCGCCCAAGAGUUCAUAUCGACGGCGGUGUUUGGCACCUCGAUGUCGGCUCAUCACAUCCUGGGGCUGAAGUAGGUCCCAAGGGUAUGGCUGUUCGCCAUUUAAAGUGGUACGCGAGCUGGGUUUAGAACGUCGUGAGACAGUUCGGUCCCUAUCUGCCGUGGGCGCUGGAGAAUUGAGGGGGGCUGCUCCUAGUACGAGAGGACCGGAGUGGACGCAUCACUGGUGUUCGGGUUGUCAUGCCAAUGGCACUGCCCGGUAGC